RNAcentral lists this ribosomal RNA (326 nucleotides) under uncultured eukaryote. RNAcentral describes it as "partial 18S ribosomal RNA". It matches the Rfam family "Eukaryotic small subunit ribosomal RNA", at positions 1470 to 1796 of the family's 1831-position model. The record is from RNAcentral.
CCCUUAGAUGUUCUGGGCCGCACGCGCGCUACACUGAUGCAUUCAACGAGCCUAGCCUUGACCGAGAGGUCCGGGUAAUCUUUGAAACUGCAUCGUGUUGGGGCUAGAUUAUUGCAAUUAUUAAUCUUCAACGAGGAAUGCCUAGUAAGCGUGAUUCAUCAAAUCGCGUUGAUUACGUCCCUGCCCUUUGUACACACCGCCCGUCGCUCCUACCGAUUGAGUGUGUUGGUGAGGAGUUUGGAUUGGCCUCGGAAGGUGGUUCGCCACCGUCCGUAGCUGAGAAGUUCUCCAAACCGCCCCACUUAGAGGAAGGAGAAGUCGUAACA